CCCGCUGAACUUAAGCAUAUCGAUAAGCGGAGGAAAAGAAACUAACAAGGAUUCCCCUAGUAACGGCGAGUCGAAGCGGGAUGAGCUCAAAUUUAGAAAUCUGGUAGUCUUUGGCUGCCCGAGUUGUAAUCUAGAGAAGUGUUUUCCGCGCUGGACUGUGUACAAGUUUCCUGGAUAUGGAACAUCAUAGAGGGUGAGAAUCCCGUCCUUGACGACAGACUCCCAGUGCUUUGUGAUCGCGCUCUCCACGAGUCGAGUUGUUUGGGAUUGCAGCUCAAAAUGGGAGGUAAAUUCCUUCUAAAGCUAAAUAUUGGCGAGAGACCGAUAGCGAACAAGUACCGUGAGGGAAAGAUGAAAAGCACUUUGGAAAGAGAGUUAAACAGUACGUGAAAUUGUUAAAAGGGAAACGAUUGAAGUCAGUCGCGUCUACUUGGACUCAGCCUUACUUUGGUUUGGUGCAUUUCCUUGUGGACGGGCCAGUGUCCAUGUCGAUUGCUGGAAAAGGUUCAGAGGAAUGUGACUCUUUUAGAGUGUUAUAGCCUCGGUUCAUAUACAGUGGUUGAUAUGGAGUGGUACAGCAUGCUUCGGUGGUGCUUGUGCUGGCAUAAUGGCUUUAAACGACCCGUCUUGAAACACGG
Molecule: ribosomal RNA, 638 nt
Filed under: uncultured fungus
Lineage: Eukaryota; Fungi
Description: eukaryotic LSU rRNA
Rfam family: Eukaryotic large subunit ribosomal RNA
Source: RNAcentral